RNAcentral lists this ribosomal RNA (788 nucleotides) under uncultured bacterium. RNAcentral describes it as "bacterial SSU rRNA". It matches the Rfam family "Bacterial small subunit ribosomal RNA", at positions 552 to 1338 of the family's 1533-position model. The record is from RNAcentral.
UACUGGGCGUAAAGAGCUCGUAGGUGGUUUGUCGCGUUGUUCGUGAAAUCUCACGGCUUAACUGUGAGCGUGCGGGCGAUACGGGCAGACUUGAGUACUGCAGGGGAGACUGGAAUUCCUGGUGUAGCGGUGGAAUGCGCAGAUAUCAGGAGGAACACCGGUGGCGAAGGCGGGUCUCUGGGCAGUAACUGACGCUGAGGAGCGAAAGCGUGGGGAGCGAACAGGAUUAGAUACCCUGGUAGUCCACGCCGUAAACGGUGGGUACUAGGUGUGGGUUUCCUUCCUUGGGAUCCGUGCCGUAGCUAACGCAUUAAGUACCCCGCCUGGGGAGUACGGCCGCAAGGCUAAAACUCAAAGAAAUUGACGGGGGCCCGCACAAGCGGCGGAGCAUGUGGAUUAAUUCGAUGCAACGCGAAGAACCUUACCUGGGUUUGACAUGCACAGGACGCCGGCAGAGAUGUCGGUUCCCUUGUGGCCUGUGUGCAGGUGGUGCAUGGCUGUCGUCAGCCCGUGUCGUGAGAUGUUGGGUUAAGUCCCGCAACGAGCGCAACCCUUGUCUCAUGUUGCCAGCGGGUAAUGCCGGGGACUCGUGAGAGACUGCCGGGGUCAACUCGGAGGAAGGUGGGGAUGACGUCAAGUCAUCAUGCCCCUUAUGUCCAGGGCUUCACACAUGCUACAAUGGCCGGUACAAAGGGCUGCGAUGCCGCGAGGUUAAGCGAAUCCUUUUAAAGCCGGUCUCAGUUCGGAUCGGGGUCUGCAACUCGACCCCGUGAAGUCGGAGUCGCUAG